UGCUCGCGGGGGGUCUCCACGAAGGGGAAUUUGUCGAGAUCUGACGGAUUGUCAUCUAUAUAGGCGCUUGUGUUGCAGCGGAGCUGGGGGUAGUCGAAGGCCGAGCGGGGAGUGGCGCCGGUGGCGGAGUCGGGAGUUUGUGGUUCGGUGAUGGGACCGAGGGCGAUGGGGGAAAUGCCGUAGCUGGCGAGGCGGUGCUUGUAAG
This 205-nucleotide unclassified non-coding RNA is filed under the name Hevea brasiliensis (rubber tree). Lineage: Eukaryota; Viridiplantae; Streptophyta; Magnoliopsida; Malpighiales; Euphorbiaceae. The record is from RNAcentral.